GCAGAACGCGAAGAACCUUACCUGGGCUAGAAAGCGCAAGAACCUCGGUGAAAACUGAGGGUGCCCUUCGGGGAACUUGUGAUUAGGUGCUGCAUGGCUGUCGUCAGCUCGUGUCGUGAGAUGUUGGGUUAAGUCCCGCAACGAGCGCAACCCUUGCUGUUAGUUGCCAUCAUUAAGUUGGGCACUCUAACAGGACUGCCGACCUUUAAGUCGGAGGAAGGUGGGGAUGACGUCAAGUCCUCAUGGCCCUUACGUCCAGGGCUACACACGUGCUACAAUGAACGGUACAAAGGGUCGCGAAACCGUGAGGUGGAGCCAAUCCCAAAAAGCCGUUCUCAGUACGGAUAAGAGUCUGCAACUCGACUCUUUGAAGGCGGAAUCGCUAGUAAUCCCUGAUCAGCAUAGCAGGGGUGAAUACGUUCCCGGGUCUUGUACACACCG
This 441-nucleotide ribosomal RNA is filed under the name uncultured bacterium. RNAcentral's name for it is "bacterial SSU rRNA". It matches the Rfam family "Bacterial small subunit ribosomal RNA", at positions 954 to 1392 of the family's 1533-position model. The record is from RNAcentral.